RNAcentral lists this ribosomal RNA (253 nucleotides) under uncultured Spartobacteria bacterium. RNAcentral describes it as "partial 16S ribosomal RNA". It matches the Rfam family "Bacterial small subunit ribosomal RNA", at positions 524 to 776 of the family's 1533-position model. The record is from RNAcentral. Lineage: Bacteria; Pseudomonadati; Verrucomicrobiota; Spartobacteria.
UACAGAGGUCUCGAGCGUUGUUCGGAUUCAUUGGGCGUAAAGGGCGCGUAGGCGGCGGGGUCAGUCUGGUGUGAAAUCUCGGAGCUCAACUCCGAAAUUGCACUGGAUACUGCUCUGCUAGAGGGCUGGAGAGGAGAUCGGAAUUCACGGUGUAGCAGUGAAAUGCGUAGAUAUCGUGAGGAAGACCAGUGGCGAAGGCGGAUCUCUGGACAGCUCCUGACGCUGAGGCGCGAAGGCUAGGGGAGCAAACGGG